This 363-nucleotide ribosomal RNA is filed under the name uncultured bacterium. RNAcentral's name for it is "bacterial SSU rRNA". It matches the Rfam family "Bacterial small subunit ribosomal RNA", at positions 28 to 407 of the family's 1533-position model. The record is from RNAcentral.
GACGAACGCUGGCGGCGUGCCUAACACAUGCAAGUCGAGGGUUUUAGUAGUAAUACGAAGAACACUGGCGCACGGGUGAGUAACGCGUAGAUCAUCUGCCCCUAACACUGACAUAACAGUUCUAACGGACUGCUAAUAUCAGAUGUGAUAAGCAAUUAUUAAAGGGUAACCGGUUAGGGAUGAGUCUGCGUCUGAUUAGGUAGUUGGUGAGGUAACGGCUCACCAAGCCUACGAUCAGUAACUGGUCUGAGAGGACGAACAGUCACACUGGAACUGAGACACGGUCCAGACUCCUACGGGAGGCAGCAGUGAGGAAUAUUGCACAAUGGGAGAAAUACCUGAUGCAGCGACGCCGCGUGUGGG